CAAGGCUAAAUAUGAAUGGGAAACCGAUAGCAAACAAGUACCGUGAGGGAAAGAUGAAAAGAACUUUGAAAAAAGAGUUAAAAGACUUGAAACCGUUGAGAAGGAAGCGAUAGAAGUUGGGUAAUCAUAUAGCAAAAGGUCUCCUGGUCUGGUUACUGUGGUCUUGCGACGCAGUGGCUGGACAACAGGGAGAUACUUGGUUAUGUGAAAGACAAGAUGAGUUUUGGUAACAAGUAUAUAAUAAAUGUUACGCAAGACUGAGGAUUGAUUUUGUCAAAACGACUUUUACCGACCCGUCUUGAAACACGGACCAAGGAGUUUUACUACAGUGCAAGUCUACAAGUGGAAAACUUAUAGGCGGAUUGAAAGAGAAUUUAGGGUACCAAGGAGCAAUCCGGCAGUAUCGACCUUCAACUGGUUUCUAUCAGUUGCAUGAGUAAGAGCAUUGUGGUUAAGACCCGAAAGAUGGUGAACUAUACUUGAGUAGAGUGAAGUCAAUGGAAACUCUGAUGGAAGCUCAAAGCGGUACUGACGUGCAAAUCGUUCGUGUAACUUGAGUAUAGGGGCGAAAAACCAAUCGAACCAUCUACUAGCUGGUUCCUUCUGAAGUUUCUCUCAGGAUAGCUGAAACGAUUAUACAGUUUUAUCAGGUAAAGCUAAUGAUUAGUGGAUUGGGGGAAUAAAAUUCCUCCACCAAUUCUCAAACUUUAAAUUGGUAAGAGGCUUGAGUUUGCUUAAAUGAACUCGAGCAUGGAAUGUACGUUUUUAGUGGGCCAUUUUUGGUAAGCAGAACUGGCGAUGAGGGAUGCUCCUAAAGCUGAGUUAAGGUGCCCAAGUUACAAUCAUCAGAUACCAUAAAAGGAGUUGGUUUGUUUAGACAGCAGGAUGGUGGCCCUGAGAGCAGGCAUCCAUUAAAAAGUGCUUUCCGCUUACCUGCCGAACGAAUCAGCCCUGAAAAUGGAUGGCGCUAUAUUGUAACACCGAGACUCGGCCAUUGUCGCUAAUCUAUGCGUCAAUGUGUAAGAAGGCGUGUGGCUAGUGUAGAAGCUAAGGUGUGAACCUAAGUGGAACUGGUCAUAGUGCAGAUCUUGGUGGUAGUAGCAAAUAUUCAAAUGAGAACUUUGAAGGCCGAAGUGGAGAAGGGUUCCAUGUGAACAGCAAUUGAUCAUGGGUUACUCGAUCCUAAGACACAGCGGAAACGCCUUGAAAGAAGAGUUAAUCUUCGAGUCAAAAGGGAAUGAGGUUAAUAUUCCUCAAGCUAGCCGUGUAGUAGUAUGGUAACAUAUACAAUCUCGGAGACGCCAGUAUGUACCUCCGGAAGAGUUUUCUUUUCUUCUUAACCAGCUCAAGCCACGGAAUUGAUUUAAUCAGAGAGGUGGCCCAAUGCUGGGUAGAGCAGAGCCCUAGGCUUUGUCGGAUGCGUUCAUAAUGGCCCUUGAAAAUCCGGGUGAGAGACUUAAAUACACGCUAGGUCGUACCAACAACCGCAUCAGGUCUCCAAGGUUAGCAGCCUCUGGUCAACUAGAAGAAUGUAGAUAAGGGAAUUCGGCAAAUUAGAUUCGUAACUUCGGAAGAUGGAUUGGCUCUGAGGACAGUGCAGCCCGGUGACUAUGGAAGUCUUUAUUGAAAUCGUCGACUCGAGUACUCGUAUUCGGUUGAUGAUGGAUUUAGAGAAGUCUGUGGAAGCCACUGCAAUUAACUGUUAACUCAGAACUGAAGCGAACAAAUGGAAUCUAACUGUUUAAUAAAAACAUAGCUUUAUGAUGGCCUGAAAAGGUGUUGACAUAAAGUGAUUUCUGCCCAGUGCUCUGAACGUUAAAGUGAAGAAAUUCAACUAUGCGCGGGUAAACGGCGGGAGUACCCUGACUCUCUUAAGGUAGCGAAAUACCUCGUUAAGUAAUUUUUGACGUGCAUGAAAGGAUUAAUGAGAUUCCAACUGUCCCUAUCUACCAUCUAGCGAAACCACAGCUAAGGGAACGGGCUUAGCAAACUCAUUGGAUAAAGAAGACCCUUUCGCGCUUGACUCUAGUCUGACUUUGUGACAUGACAUAUGA
This 2054-nucleotide ribosomal RNA is filed under the name wastewater metagenome. RNAcentral's name for it is "eukaryotic LSU rRNA". It matches the Rfam family "Eukaryotic large subunit ribosomal RNA", at positions 311 to 2456 of the family's 3401-position model. The record is from RNAcentral.